This 338-nucleotide long non-coding RNA is filed under the name Lactuca sativa (garden lettuce). Its description in RNAcentral is "long non-coding RNA (LSAT_LNC001549)". The record is from RNAcentral. Lineage: Eukaryota; Viridiplantae; Streptophyta; Magnoliopsida; Asterales; Asteraceae.
UCUGUCUCAUCCAUUUAAACAUGUAUGUACUUGGUUGUGAUUGUAUUAAUCUUGAAUGAAUUUCUUCAUAGACAUGUUAUAAUGCAUGAUAAAUUCAAGCCUUUCAAUUUGAAUCCCUUCUUCUCAAACCUAGAAAUAUAUCUCCUACCUGUAACAAACCUAAGAGGUAAAAAAUUUAAAUUUCAAAAGCACUGCAUUGUAAAUGAAACUACCUGGUGGUGAUGAAUCUAGUGACGAAGAACUUAUUUUCUUCCAUGUUUUCCAAAUACAAUCAAAUACAUAUGCAUCAUAGUCCAUCAAAUGAAUGGAAUUGGUUAUCCAUGGGGAGAAGAUAUUAU